GAGUUUGAUCCUGGCUCAGGACGAACGCUGGCGGCGUGCCUAACACAUGCAAGUCUAGGAGAACGUUUCCUUCGGGAGAUUAUUAAACUGGCGAACGGGUGAGUAACGCGUAGAUAAUCUGCCCCUAUCACUGACAUAACGCUGAGAAAUCGGUGCUAAUAUCAGGUGCUUCGGCAUCAAAGUUUUCGGACGGAUAGGGAUGAGUCUGCGUCUGAUUAGCUUGUUGGUAAGGUAACGGCUUACCAAGGCUGCGAUCAGUAACUGGUCUGAGAGGACGAUCAGUCACACUGGAACUGAGACACGGUCCAGACUCCUACGGGAGGCAGCAGUGAGGAAUAUUGGUCAAUGGGGGCAACCCUGAACCAGCGACGCCGCGUGCGGGACGAAGGGGUUUUGCCCUGUAAACCGCUGUCAGACAGGAGGAAAAGUCCCCUCAGGGGACCGGGACAGUACUGUCAGAGGAAGGACCGGCUAACUACGUGCCAGCAGCCGCGGUAAUACGUAGGGUCCGAGCGUUGUCCGGAUUUACUGGGUGUAAAGGGUGCGUAGGCGGACUUGUGCGUCAGAGGUUAAAUCCCACGGCUUAACCGUGGAGCUGCCUUUGAUACGGCAAGUCUUGAGUGUGAGAGAGGAUGAUAGAAUUCCUGGUGUAGCGGUGAAAUGCGUAGAUAUCAGGAGGAAUACCGGUGGCGAAGGCGGUCAUCUGGCUCAUCAUUGACGCUGAGGCACGAAAGCGUGGGGAGCGAACAGGAUUAGAUACCCUGGUAGUCCACGCCCUAAACGAUGUAUGCUUGGUUGGUGUUCCCAUUUAUUUGGGAGUGCCGGAGGUAACCCGUUAAGCAUACCACCUGGGGAGUACGAUCGCAAGGUUGAAACUCAAAGGAAUUGACGGGGGCCCGCACAAGCGGUGGAUUAUGUGGUUUAAUUCGAUGCAACGCGAAGAACCUUACCAAGGCUUGAAGUGCAGUGGACCGCUCCUGAAAGGGAUUUUUCUUUCGAGACUGCUGCAGAGGUGCUGCACGGCUGUCGUCAGCUCGUGCCGUGAGGUGUUGGGUUAAGUCCCGCAACGAGCGCAACCCCUAUCCUUAGUUGCCAUCAGGUAAUGCUGGGAACUCUAAGGAGACUGCCCGCGCAAGCGGAGAGGAAGGUGGGGACGACGUCAAGUCAUCAUGGCCCUUAUGUCUGGGGCUACACACGUAAUACAAUGGUAGGUACAAUGGGCGAAGCCGCGAGGUGAAGGAAAUCCCCAAAGCCUAUCUCAGUUCGGAUUGUAGUCUGCAACUCGACUACAUGAAGCUGGAAUCGCUAGUAAUCGUAGAUCAGCGUGCUACGGUGAAUACGUUCCCGGGCCUUGUACACACCGCCCGUCAAGCCAUGGAAGCCGGAGGCGCCCAAAGAUGCUUAUAGCAUUUAAGGCGAAUUUGGUAAUUUGGGCUAAGUCGUAACAAGGUAGCCGUAUCGGAAGGUGCGGCUGGAUCACUCCUUUC
This 1487-nucleotide ribosomal RNA is filed under the name uncultured prokaryote. Its description in RNAcentral is "partial 16S ribosomal RNA". It matches the Rfam family "Bacterial small subunit ribosomal RNA". The record is from RNAcentral.